UACGUAGGGACCAAGCGUUGUCCGGAAUCACUGGGCGUAAAGAGCGUGUAGGCGGCUUGGUAAGUCCGCUGUGAAAGUCCAGGGCUCAACCCUGGAAUGCCGGUGGAAACUGUCAGGCUCGAGUCCGGAAGAGGAGAAUGGAAUUCCUGGUGUAGCGGUGAAAUGCGCAGAUAUCAGGAAGAACACCCGUGGCGAAGGCGGUUCUCUGGGACGGUACUGACGCUGAGACGCGAAAGCGUGGGGAGCGAACAGG
RNAcentral lists this ribosomal RNA (253 nucleotides) under uncultured bacterium. Its description in RNAcentral is "partial 16S ribosomal RNA". It matches the Rfam family "Bacterial small subunit ribosomal RNA", at positions 524 to 776 of the family's 1533-position model. The record is from RNAcentral.